Molecule: long non-coding RNA, 13507 nt
Organism: Dermacentor silvarum
Lineage: Eukaryota; Metazoa; Arthropoda; Arachnida; Ixodida; Ixodidae
Exons: 2
Source: RefSeq, a predicted model, not a curated record
CCUUGUUAAAAAUAAUGUUCGUGCAUUCCCUUGCUGAGAAUGGUGAAGGGGAAGACUUUUAACAGAAAAUUGAGUUGUCUGCAUACCCAUAAAGGGGUCACAUGUGGAGGGGGGGGGGGGGGUUAUGUGCAUGCGUGCAUGAUUGUUUUCACUUGUAGUUAACGGUGCAAAGAAGGCCCUGUAUGUACAUUAUUCAAAUGUGCGCUUGAAUAACAUGCACCUAAUCUUUGUGGCAAGAACUCUGGCCUGCACGCAGAAAUUUGUUCUUUUGUUCUGCUUGCACGAGUGAUACGCAAACAGUGCAUUUUUACAUGCAAAUUUUCAGGUGACAUUUUUCAAAUGACCCAGUUGCCAUGCUAGUGGGAAAACAUUUCUGUCAAUGAUAUACUUUGCUUUUGCCAGCAUGCUAUUUGGGGUGAACGAGCAGUGGUAGCUGUAUUGGUGCUGCGCAGCUCGAGUUUUCUCAUCAAAUUUAAUCAAACUACACUGCACUUAAUCUACUGGAUGCGGAAGUUGCAUGUGCCAGUGACACAUUGUGCACGGUACGCACAGCUUGCUGCUCUGUGCUGGGCAGGCUUGAUGCCACCGAUAAAAAGGUGCAACUGAAGCAUCACUUAAAUUUUUAACCAAAAAUGGCACACAUUGGAAUCUAGUGUGUAAGGUAAGUUCUUCAUUGCUUUAAUCUUCACAUCUUCCAAGUUAAUAAUGAAUUGAGCAAUUGCGUAGCUAGUUAACAUAUGUCUGCCAUUUUUGGAGAACACAUUAUUGGGUGUUCAGCCAAAACAGUCUACAUACCUGCCAAGUCUCCCAGAUUAUCCGGAAGACUCCCGAAUUCUGAUCAUUUCUUCUGGUUGUAUGGUUGACAGAAAAAUCUUCUGGAAAUUGUAGUUGUGCCCGGUUUUUAUCCACGCUCUACGCUUUGUCUGACCACAUCGGCAACAAAUCUAAUCAAAUCGAGUUAGAAGUCCAUCGUGCAUAGCGUUGUUAUAGAAAGUAGUAGGGAAACCCUACAUGCAUUAUUUCUUUAACCUUUAUAAGACCGCAGCUCCACUCUUUACACCGAUGGGGUUGUUGGGUGCUAUAUUGGCCCUAGUCUUAUUCACGUAGCGAGCGAAUGCCGUGUUCCACAACUCGCAACACUAGAUCAGGCCCCGCACACUCUCAAGUUCAACAAAUAGCCACAAAGGGCGAGAAAAUCGACCAUGGUGCUGUUAAGAAAACAUAGUACCUCCACUCUAAAAUAUUCCCCCGUGAGCAAACUAUCUCCCUCACUUAUCAUGGCAUUUAUUUUCCUUGCAUGACAAAGAGUGCAAAAUUAUUAUUCUUAAUUAUGUAUAGUACUCUUGAGUACCAAGUCUGUUGUUUAGCUAUCAUAAACGCACAAUAAUGUUCAGCAUCAUCAACCUCCCACGUGACCUAUGCCCUCGCGGUUCAAAAUUUUACCGGUUUGCUGUGCAGCUUCCUGGUUCAAGGUUUCUUGGUUCAUGAGCUAAAGCCAGUCUUUUGCACUCUGAUUUCUCACAUUAUUCUGCUUGUUUGAAGUGACGCGUUCGGGAGCGGAGAAGUAGAGAUUUUCAGCCGGUGUGGGAUGCGGUCUUUAUCGUACAUGGAUCCGGAUUGCAACUGCUUCAACUCUGCUGAAGGGCAUGUCGGUGAGUUCUUGCUUGGACGUUACUGCUUGCGUAGCGGUUAGGCGGAAUGUAGUGUACAAAACAGCUUAGAAAAUUGAUGCGAGGUUCCUGAUACUUGCUACAACAGUGAGUACCAUGAACAACUCGCACCUGCAGAGGAAAUGAAAUCACUACAGACAAACUUGCGAAUCUUCAUUUCGUCAUUUUGUUGAUUUUGAAAGGUGACACCUUUCAUCGUGUAAUUGCCUGUAGGACCAGUUGUCAACAACUCGGCAGCAUGAAGAAAAAAUAAAGUACUGGUUUUCCUAGAAAUGCUUCUGUGAGUAGAGCCACCAGCCAGUUGCCACCUGCCUUGUGAAGCUUCAAUUCAUAGGUCUAUUGCAGUGUAGCUCAGUGAAAUAAAUCAAAACCUACCUGAAACCCGCAAAUUGUGUGCAUGCUGCCAUAACUGUAUUUCCUAUGAGUGACUGCCCGAUAACCUAGCUUGCUUCUCACUUUAUUAUUUAUCUUCAAAAGGGCAGCCGUGGGCACUUAUUCUUGCAUUAGAGUAGAAUAUUCGCAGCAUCAGACAAAUAUUGCUGUGAUGCCAGUAGUAAUUACUAUUCCUGUCUAACUGAGGUCACUGCUAUGUUCUUUCAGUGAUCAGCGAGUGCCUUUGCAUCCUGGCAAUUUGCAACCUGGCAACUAACGUCACGUGUAUGCAAAGCUUCAAUUUUGUCAACAGCAGCAAGAAAGAAUUCUCCAGUAAAGUGCUGCAGCAAGUGCAUGAACCCAAGCAAGGCACAAGCUUAAGGAGGGCAUGAUCAAUGUAAAGCUACAGACUGCAAGCAUGAAAAAGAAGCUUGGCUGUCACCACAGGGUUACCAUCUGUUCUCCAGCUGCGACCCCAUGGCUACAAUGUUUGCUUUUAAUUUAAAGAUGUUUGACGUGCACCUCGAGAGUGCAUUAUCUCUCAUGCCUGUCAGGUGUUGAUAGUUAGAGCUAUAAGUACUUGUUUCCAUGCAGUGUUCGGAAUAUUCAGUUUUAAAUAGCUGGGAAGGUUUCCCUAAUUUUUUCUGAAAUUCACAUUUAACUGAGAAAGAUCUGCUUUAGUGUGCAACAGUAAAACAAGGUCGCGAGUUGUGCAAGGUUAUCUCAUGGGAACAAUGUGCAUUUAAAGGGGUCCUGAACCACUUUUUAUUGAAGUGGAGGAAUGAAUGCAUUUGAAGUUAAAAUAUGCUCUUUCAGAAGUACUUUGGCGCAAAACGUACUUCAAUGAGUUCAGCAGAAGUGGAGUUAUUGGCAAUCAGACACCCCCUUCGCAGUGCCUCCACUCCUUCAAUGCUUUGCACUGCGAAGGCUACGGCGGAGCGGGGCGUGCUCACAACGCUCUGCCUACUGAUUGUCACCGUGGCGCACAGUUCAAAUUUGAUUUUGGGUGUUCUCAUAGAAGCUCAAAUGCUCUUUCAAAUGCUCUCUUUUCAACAGAAGCCUGCUCCUCACUUUUUUCUGGACACUUCAUUUCGCAAUAUCCGAUUUUGGCGUCUGUGACACGAUUAAUGUAAGCCAAACGUGGUUGUCCUCAGUGAGCCACAGUGCGCUCAGCCAGCAGACUCAUCGCGACAGUCGCGGCAUCUACGUUAUGUAGCAGACCUCAGCUACAUACAACUGUAGUGCGUCUGCACAGCAUUUGCUUUGUACACUACAGGGCUUGAGUGCGUGCUCGCACUCACAUGCUCCAGUCUGGCUGUGCUAUGUGGUGUGGACCAUCUUUGUCCUGCGCCAGUUUAACCGACUGAUAGUAGCCACAUCCAACUUGUGCAUUUUGUAGCGCUAUCAAUAGCUCAAUGUGAAGCGAAGUCUGCUGCCAAGGCUGCUAACGAGGAGUGUGAGCACGCUGGCAAGCGUGUGUGUGGUCUGACCUUAAGUGUGUGUGGUUCGAGGCUAGUUGAGUUCAAAGUUAGUCGAAAUUAGCAAGACCCAACGGCUACAACACCGAUGAGCAGGGUGGUCAAAGUUCAAUUCCUACGUGGGCGGCCGAGCGUGAGCAGACAAGUCUGCUUCUUCCGGAAGUCCGUAAUUAUAUGAUCGAAAUUCGAAAACAGAUUCUCGCUUACUUCAGCCUGUUUAUUAAACUUCGUCAAUAAAUAUACACAGUAACAAUAGGAAGAAGCGCACUGAUCUAAACGGCCUCUUGAUUGAUGUCAGCUAUUUGCCAAUAGCAGCCGCGUAUGGAAAUCUGCUAUAUUGCGAAAUAGUGUCCAGAAAAAAGUGAGGAGCAGGCUUCUGUUGAAAAGAGAGCAUUUGAGAGAAUGGUGACUCAGCGCUCUGCUUGCGUGCUCCACGUGCUGCGCACGACUGCAAAACUUGGCUGAGCUGUUCACAGCAGCGUGUGCUAUCUGCCGACUAUAUUUCUUCACCAAGCCCGAGGGGUGGUUCAUGACCCUUUUAAUAUGGCACAGAGUUGGCAAAUGAAGCAUGAAAAUCGCACCUGUGUAUUCUGUUGUCACAAAGUGUUCAUGCUGGGGACAAAAUGGAGUGAAAUUAUGGCUUAACAUUCAAGGUUAGUGUUAGACCAAUCAUUUUACGAAAAGGUACCAGAUAUUUACGUGCCCAGUAUAGCUUAUCAUGCAUUGGUACCCAUGACUGUGAUUAACACGUUGCUGCUCGAGAGUGCUUGUCUCUGAAUGUCUAGUUACAUAGACUUAGUUUGUGGCUUGUGUUUAGUAUGCUCUCAUAUUGCAUGUGAUAGCAAUGCCCUACCAUGUUUCUUGUGCAACUUGAGUUAUAAAAGAGAUCACUGGUCGAAGACUGACACUGCAACAAAUAAAUUGUUAUUAACCAGCAGAGAACAUUGGUUUCCCUUCUUAUAGAAAACAGAUAGUGAAAACUACUGACAAAGCUUUAUGGGAAUUAUUUGCCCUAGAAAAAAUAAAUUAUGCAUUCAAAACAGCCUAUAAAACCACUCUGAAUUGCAUAGUAAGUUCGGUGUUACGUACAGUAAGCAGUGAAUUUUAGUUUAAUUACUAGUCGCCAUCUGCUAGGAACAUGCUGAGGCAAUAAAUGCAAAGCCACAACAUUUGCCAACACGUGCAUUACUGUAUUUUCCAUUCUAUAAAUCACACCUUUGUAUAAGUCGCACCUCCCUUAAAACGGCAGUUUUUCUGGAAAAAAAGUAUAUAAGACUCACCUGCUUAUUCGGUAAGCAAUUAAAAAAAAUUACACUGGUGUUUCACUUCGUGAAUGUGGGUCACAGGCAAGCGUGUGGGUGCUAUUCUUAUACAAGGUCUGUUAGAAAAGAAUCCGACCUUUGGCCGAAGAAAAAAACUGGCAUAACUGAAGCGCUGGAAACCUAAUCACCCUCAAAGUAGUCUCCUUGGGACUCCACACACUUCUCGCCGGCGGUGCAGCCAUUGUUGGAAGCAUUCCGAGAAGGCCUCUUUCGGAAUGGAGUUUAGCUCGGCUGUCGUUGCAGCCAUAAUGUCCUCUCUUGUCUGAAAUCGCACUCCUUUCAAUGGCCUCUUGAUUUUGGGAAACAGCCAGAAGUCGCAGGGGGCCAUACCAGGAGAGUAAGGAGCCUGUUGAACUACUGGAGUCUGGUUUUUUGCCAAAAAAGUGAAUCAAGUGCGAGGAAUGUGCAGGAGCAUUGUCGUGAUGGAUGCGCCAAUUUCCUGUUGACAACUCCGGUCUCUUGCGCCGCACAACAUCACGUAGGUGAUGGAGGACAUCCCUGUAGUACUCGUUGGCGAUUGUUUGACCCUGUGGUGUGUACUCGUGACCACACCGCGGGAGUCAGCAAAAAGCAGUCGGCAUCACUUUGACGUUGCUACGCACUUGGCGGACCUUCUUUGGUCUUGGUGAUGUGGAAUGCUUCCAGUGACGACUGGGAUUUGGUUUAUGUGUCGUACCUGUACACCCACGUUUUGUCACCAGUGAUUAUGGUAUUCAUGAAGUUGGGGUCACUGUUUGUUGAAUCCAGCAUGUCCUGUGAGACUUCAACACGAAGUUGCUUUUGCUCCACCGUGAGCAGCUUCGGCAUGAAUUUCACCGCAAUUCUCUUCAUGGCCAAAUCUUACGUCAUAAUGAAAUGUGCAGAGAAAGUGCUGACGCCCACCUCUUCCGCAAUUUCUCGGAUAGUCACACGACGGUCCCGUAUCACCACAGCGUUCAAUUCGGCAAUGACCUGGUCAUUUCGGCAUGUUGAUGGCCGACCGGAGCGUGGCUCGCUCUCCACCGAUGUGCGGCAGUCAUUAAAUCGGUUGUACCACUCCUUAAUCUGUGUGCUGUUCAUAGCAUCGUCACCAAAAGCCGUCUGAAUCUUCCGAAUGGUUUCCACUAGGCGGUCGCCCAGUUUCUGGCAAAAUUUGAUGCAGUAGCACUGCUGCAGUCGCUCUGUCAUUUUCCUUGCAAUAAAGAAACCAACGAGAGCACUGCGCACUACCUCACUCAAACGCUGUGUCCCAGCGACUGACGCUAUCGGCAAUAACAUUGUCCACGUGCGCCGUAUGCUGGAUGUGCGAGUGAAAGCGUGCGACGGUGAGCCGAAUCGCGCACAAAGGAGGCAAGCGGGAGGGAGGGAGGGUGGCUUGUACUCGGGUAGCAACUGCGUAGUUUGGCGCAGCAGUGCGUGCCGUAUCUUCAAAGCGAUCUGCAGAUGCGACCACUUCGGAGUCUGUCAACUCUCGGUCAGCAUGCCGCUACUUAUGUUGUUGCUCCAUCCUUCUCGCACCGCGCUCGGCAACUUGAUCACGAGAAGGGUACCUCCAUAGUGCACACACAACCCGUAGCAACUGCCAGAGGAGAUCAACCCAGCGUGCUUUGCAUGGCCAUAGCAUCCAGCAGUUUUUUAGAAAAAACAAAACGUACGAGGUGUGUUCACAAAGAAACCAAACUUUUGCUAUAACACCUUUACUGCCUAUGGUACAACAUUUUAAGUGCUGUCCCCUUCAAAGUAGUCCCCUCUACUGGCAAUGCACUCCUUCCCAUCUUUUCUUCCAUUUUUGGAAAGCCUUCUGGAACGCACUUUCUGGAAUGGCGCACAGGUCUCUUCUCGCAUUGACCUAGAUCUCCUCUACGGUUUGGAAACGACAUCCUUUCAAGGUGGUUUUCAGCUUAGGGAAUAGAAAAAAAGUCUGCUGGGGCUAGGUCCGGAGAAUAUGGUGGGUGAGGCACAACAGGAGCGUGGUGUUUCGCUAAGUAGCUGCGGACAAGGAGCGACGCGUGAGCUGGGGCAUUGUCAUGAUGCAACAGCCAAGCCCGGUUUUCCCACAAUUCAGGCCUCUUAAAACAGAAUCUCUCAAACGUGUUAGGAUUCUCUGGUAAACUUCUUUGUUUGCUGUCCGAUCAUGUGGCACAAAUUCUUGAUGGACAAUGCCUCUGCAGUCAAAAAAGACAACCAACAUCACCUUCAUUUUUGACCGACUCAUGCAUGCUUUUUUUGGACAUGGAGAACCUUUGGCCACCCACUACGAUGAACUGCACUUUCGUUUCAACAUCAUAGCCAUAAAACCAUGUCUCAUUGCCUGUUAUCAUGUUCUUAAGAAAGUUUUCAUCGUCAUUGGCAGCGGCGAGCAGUUCCUGGUUGAUUUCAACACGGGUCUGCUUCUGUUCUUCAGUCAACAAACGCGGCACGAAUUUUGCACUGACACACGCAUCCCAAGUUUGUCACUCAAAAUUUCAUGACAUGAUCCUACGCUGAUACCCACUUCGUCAGUAACUUCUCAAACAGUCAAACGACGAUUUCCACGAAUCACAGUUCGAACUCUCUCCAUGUGGUCAUCAUCUGUGGAUGUGGAAGGUCGUCCAGGCUUGGGAUCAUCACCGACCAACAUUCUUCCGUCUUCAAAAUGGUUGAACCAAUCAUAGCACUGCGUGCGACUCGUACAGUCCUCCCCAUAUGCUUGGCUAAGCAACUGAAAUGUCUCUGUGAACGUUUUGCCAAGUUUGUAGCAGAAUUUCACACACACACGCUGUUCUUCUGAUUCCUUCAUUGUCAGUUUGGCACCAAUUCGAAGAACAGCUUGUUCAUGUGCUCGCUUCAGCGGCUGUAGACCCGCCCCAGUGGCUCAGUCAGCUAAGGCGUUGCGCUGCUGAGCACGAGAUCGCGGGAUCGAAUCCCAGCCGCGGCAGCCGCAUUUCGAUAGAGGCGAAAUGCAAAAGCGUCCAUGUGCUUGCGUUGUAGUGCACGUUAAAGAACAUCAGGUGGUCAAAAUUAAUCCGGAGCCCUCCACUAUGGCGUGCCUCAUAAUCAGAAUUGGUUUUGGCACGUAAAACCCCAGAAUCAAUCAAAUCAAAUUAGCGGCUGUAGCUUGCCAACUAACAGUCAGAGCGAAGCGCGGCAAAUAGCAGCUCGUUGUCUGAACCUGCCGCUACAUGCGCUCAGUAGCCGCAGCGCGCUCCCUCUGCCGGUUGGCGCACUAUUUCAAAAGUUCAGUUUCUUUUUGAACACACCUCGUAUGUAAGUUUAUGAGGCGCACCGACGAAAAAUUCGGGGAAAAAACUCUGCUUAUACUCUGGAAAAUACGGUACCUGCCGCUAUAUGUGCUCAGUAGCCGCAGCGCGCUCCCUCUGCCGGUUGGCGCACUAUUUCAAAAGUUCAGUUUCUUUUUGAACACACCUCGUAUGUAAGUUUAUGAGGCGCACCGACGAAAAAUUCGGGGAAAAAACUCUGCUUAUACUCUGGAAAAUACGGUACCUGCCGCUACAUGUGCUCAGUAGCCGCAGCGUGCUCCCUCUGCCGGUUCGCGCACUAUUUCAAAAGUGUGGUUUCUUUUUGAACACACCUAGUAUGUAAGUCUAUGAGGCGCACCAACGAAAAAUUCAGGGAAAAAACUCGGCUUAUACCCUGGAAAAUACGGUAGUGCCUCACACCCAAUUUUUGUUUGCCAGCGAUUGCUGUGCGACACCACUCAGAUUAUUAUUCAGUUUAGACUUGCGACAUCAUAGGCAUUGAGGAGAGGUGGUACUGACGAUGUACAUUAGAAAGAAGCAGGCAGGAGAAACUACAAAUGUAGGUAGUGCUGUCUUGCAACUAAAUCUUGGUUCACAUCACAUGCGCUCACAAAAAUUUGUAACAUGCAGGAACUAGAUGAAGUCAGAAAACCAAAUUUUAAAUAGAGACAUUCCUAGACGGAGAAUUUACAUGUGAAUAGACUUCUGUGCUAUGAAGAUGUUACUGUACUGAUACCUGGAAUAGUUGCUAAAUGAGACUUGAGAAAGCAUCUUGCAUUCUCGUGACUUGUUUGCAUACUACAGUUACUUUCUUUCUGUUAACAGCAAAAGUGUUGUGAAUAGAUAGGACACUAUUCCAACACAGGGCUCUAUAAGCAAUGUUGCAGAAUCUGGGGUGGGAUGAGCAAUUUUUACUGUAGGAAAAUGCCUCGGUAGGUGCUUGAACAGUGAGGUGUAGAAGUAAAGAAACCAGUGGAAUGGUUAACGAGUCCACAAAAAUGCACAGUAGGGUAAUUUCUAUUGAACUUCAGAAAUGCUAAACUAACAUGAAAGACUUGAACAAAAUGAAGAUGUAAGACGCACAGCACUUGUGUGUCUUGCAUAUUUUUUUAUCAGUGCCUUUCGUGCUGCUUUACCAUUGCUAGUGUUGAACCAACAUGUGCAAGCUUCCAUCAUGGCCAAUUCUAUUGUAUACAGUUGAUCGGCCUGUUCAACAAGUGUUCAGUAAUACUCUGCAGGGGUCACUCGACCAGCUAGCAGAAAAUUCCUACAGAAUCAUGUGUGAUCUUUAACACGUUUUAUCAUUGGGUUUUACAUGCACUCAAGAAGAGCUACUGAUGCGAGGACAUUUAGCCUCAUAGUAUGCAUUGUCGAAAUUGGCAUGAAUGGCGUAAAGAUAUCAGAUGAAGCUGUAAUUCGAGCUGAUUUCCAUGUUUAUUUUGCUUACUGCUUUGCAUGGUAAUGCUGCUUCAUUGUGCAGAUGCCCUAGCUGAAAUUGCAAAGAAUCGUGAAGUGAAGAAAUAAGUAUUUGAUUAACGUAGUGCUUCUGUUUGCGAGUAUAUCUGUGCAAAAGCUUUUCUGUAUUACUGGUUAUGUUUUGUUCCCCCCUACGUAAUGCCUUUAUGGCGAUGUAAAUACUCUGUAAAUAAAUAAAUAAAUAAAUGCUACGGGAGGUUGGUCCUAAAUGAAAUGGCAGGAGGAAUGGUAAAGUGCAACAUGUUUCCCUCUUUAUAAUUUAAAAAAUAUUUCGCAGAAGUGCACUUCUUCUGCGAAGUUAAAAUAGUUAACAACAGGUAACAACAAAAAUAUACGAUGUUGUUGCUCCACAAUUGUUUAUCUGUACCGCCCCCCUCACGCAAUACUCCUUCUGGAGCCUGUGAGGUACAUGAAAUAAAUAAAUAAAAAUAUAGUUAAAAUGCAAGUCUUGCAUUUUAACUAUGUCUGCAUUCACUGAUAUGCAAUCAGAGUUUAGAAAAAAACUACAUCAGCCCUAAAAAGUGUCGAAAUUUACUUCACGAUUUCAGCUUGCGAUGCAUUCCAAGGCAUGCAUUACUGGCUGGCAUCAUUACUGCAUUAAUGCCGUAAUGAAAGCCACGAAGUGCCAGCUGGAAUGAGCACCUUUGACUUGCUGUUGCUUUGAUACUGUCAAUAAAUGAGGGGGUCCCAUGAAUAUUAUGUUAUUUGUAGCGCCAGUCGAGGCCUCUGGGGCUCCUGGUCUGACAAGAGACUAAUAUCCCUAAAGGCGAACGCGGCACAAUAAGCAGCAAAAUAAAUGCAACCAGUGAGCGAUACGGCCAGGCCGCAGCAGCCAGCUGCGAGGCACCCGCCAUAUUGCCAGCCGUCAAGGAGGAGGAAAAAAAAAACAACCUGUUUCCGCUUUCUGUGCAAGUCUCGCCAUUUGUCGAAUUCCGCGAUAAGUUCCAUGCGCUUCCGCUGCUUAUUUUUGUACCACUGUGGAAGGUACAGUUUCUCUUAUCUAAAGCUGGUUCUUUAUUCUAUGACUAGACUCUCUAUCGUUCUCCUCAGCAUUCGCCGUUUCGGCAUCGUGUAGGCCUACUGUCAGUUAUGGCUUUUAAGCAAGAGCGUGAGUGGAAAAAGGUAACUGGCCGAUCCCCCCCUGCCUCCUACUGAAACAGAUAACUUGAACUGGGGACGUAUUCUCGGACGAUCGCUUUCGGCGAUAUCACUUUCAGUGUGCGCUUAUUGGCUCAUUGACCAAACUGGAUGAGCUGAUUAGUUGGCUCAGCACUGCGUCACGCUAAGGCAAUAGUAUCUCUGAAAGUCAUCAUCGUCCAAGAAUAUGUCAACUGAACGAACUUCUCAAGUGAACGAUCUUUUUUGCUGAAUGUAGGAACUUUGUAUUGAGGUUCUACUGUUUUGUUAAUGUGCUCUGAACAGCAGAGCAAUUUUUUUUUGCCUGAGAGAACUGUGAUCGUUGAGCUUUAGUGGAAUCUUUUUCAUGAAGAAAAUGGUGAGAAUUCUGUCUUGUGUCACAACAGCAUGCGCUGUGGCACAUCUAUCCAAAACAACUGGAGAAUGCCAGUCUGCUCAAAUCAAAAGCUUCGUGGUAUGGUUGGUGGAAGCAUGAAUUUAUUGGUUUCAUCACAGGUAGCCUAAUCAAGAUUUAAAGUUAUGACAACUCUUCACUGAGCUGUUUCACAAAAACCACCGAUUGCAGUGCCACACAUGUGGAAUCAAGGCCAAUACAAUUGCACUGUAAAGCUUGCCCCCCCCCCCCCCCCUCCUUUCUUGAGAGGGACAUUAUUGCUGCCCAUUUUAAAGGGCCCCUCACCAAGUCUGGCCAUUUUGAGCUAACAAGCACAGUGCAUAGGAAGCACGCUAACGAUAGUGCCUGCAACGUAUUACACUGCUAUGCGCCAAGAAAAGAGCUGAAAUUUCAAAUCAAAUGCUAUGCGCCCUUCUCGCGAGCGCCGCGCUCCCAGCCAGAAAGUCGACGUCAAUCACACAAGUGCGCCUACGUAAAUUGCUUCGAGAAUUAUUCAAGGCAACAUCGGUUAUUUGUUUUAUCUGUUGCUUCAAUAGACGAAUUGAAGUUUGCAGAAAUAAUAAAACUUACAAAAUGAAUGUCUGCGUGUUUUUUGUUUUACUUCAUACCGCAGCAAGAGACAUGCACUUCAGUUUCGUCUGCUUGUUUCCCGUCAUGCUGUCGCAUGCGCAGAGUGCGAAACUCAUUUUCUACCGGGUUCCAGUGAGCAAUUGUGCUCUUUGAUCUGCUUGCGUCUGCCUCAGUAUUGUGGGCGCUGACUUAUACCGCUAAUCAGGUGGCCUCGUGCAGAGCGUGCAAAAUUGUGCGCUGCUCUAAACGAGACAAACAGAACAGCUCGCGAGUGAGAUCGUCACCGGAUGUGCACUACUUGGCACAAAUGCGAGAGAGAAAAAAUAAGAAGGUGGGGCUCAUGACAUAUCUGUCGCGCGACCCUCCGGCUCUGGUAUGGGAGAACACAGGGAAGGAAUUUCGCUUGCAGAGGCUAGACUGGGGCAAAUAGAGAGUGUGUCUAUGUUGGCGGUGACGCUCGCAUCCUGAAAUCAUGGGUUCAUGGUACUUAAAAUAUUUCUAUCUCUGUUAUUAAUGAACUAAUUAGAAAAAUCCUUGUGAUAGAACGUUCCUUAGAGGGCACGUAACAACUUCCAGCAUAUGACCAAAAUUUGCUAUGGUGAGGGGCCCUUUAAGGUUAUUCAGCGCUCCUAAUGCUGAAGCAUAAGCAUAUGUCUCGGAUUGCCAGCAAUAGACCGAUCCCACCGCCCGAUCUGCGCAUGCGUCGGUUUUCCGGAAGUAGCACUGCCACCAUCUUGGUUCGGUCAACCAUACCACCGCAGUCCGCGCUCAUUGAGUACUGCACACGAGCUUCCCAGACUUCUCUGCAACUCCACCACCGAGAAACAUUCGUCAUGUAUUUUAAGAAAUACAUUAGCUGUUCAUUGCAGCAUGCGAGGCGAACACUGAAAAGUGCCUGCUGCUCUUUCAUUUCGGUUGUUACCCGCUGAUUACGCGUUGAGUAUCGUAUUUGUUCGAGCUUUGUAUGUAGUACAUGCUGAUGUACGCGGUCGUUUUAUGUUACUAUUGUUGCUCACGUGCAUCUCGGUGACUGCAACGUUAUGUUUGCUUAGCGGCAGACAUAAUAGGAUUUGUAUACCUGUUGGAAACGGGUUUGAAAUUUGGUGCCGAAACUUUCGUGCCCUAAUGAUGCUUACCUGCAUGGGUUUCGCGCACGACUUGCAGACUUCGGUAACAGCGAUAUCUAGAAGUUAAGUAAGCUAGGCGGCGUUUUAACAUGAAAACGCUGAUAGCCAAUCAAUAGCUAAUCGAUCAAUAAUCAAUAAAUUCCGGAAAAUUCUGGGGAUGACUUGGUAGUGCUUAGCCUAGGUCAAAUACGUAGCCAAUACGUUGCAAUAGCCAAACAAUAGCUAAUCGAUAAUCUCUAUCAAUAAUCAAUAAACUCUGGAAAAUGCUGGGCUUGGUAGGGCUUAACUUAGCCCAAAUAUGUGGCCAAUACCUGGCGAUAGCCAAUCAAUAGCUAAUCAAUGAUCAAUCAAUAAUUGAUCAAUUUCGGGAAAUGCUGGGGAUGACUUUGGUAGUGCUUAGCCUAGCCCAAAAGCCAGGACUAGCUAGGUGCCCAUCAGCUCCGCUGUCUCUUUAGCAUUUUGCCUCCAGUGCAAGCUACGCUAAUUUUUUAUUUGCAUUCGAACGAAUGGUACGCUUGCUGCUUCCUAAACUCCGACUGUGUGGCGUGAGGCGAGCGUCCUAUCUUUUGCGCACGUGAAUACACGCUGCUCUCCAGUAUGAGCAGCUGUGAUAUCCUUUCAUCAGUGAUUCGCAGUGGUUGAUUAAGCCGUUUAAGACAGUAUCAUUGCUGUCGCUAGCGAUGGCAGAGACCUCUUGCUCAUGUGCGGGUGGCACAGUUGAGCUCCCGGGAAGUUCAGGCAGG